Molecule: ribosomal RNA, 108 nt
Filed under: Candidatus Pelagibacteraceae bacterium
Lineage: Bacteria; Pseudomonadati; Pseudomonadota; Alphaproteobacteria; Candidatus Pelagibacterales; Candidatus Pelagibacteraceae
Description: partial 23S ribosomal RNA
Rfam family: Bacterial large subunit ribosomal RNA
Source: RNAcentral
AUUUCUCUAUUAGAGUCGUGGAAGACUACCACGUUGAUAGGCUGGGUGUAGAAGCAUGGCAACAUGUGAAGCUAACCAGUACUAAUAACUCAAUUGGCUUGAUUACAA